AAUUAACUAGUUUCCUUAUCACAAAAAGCUUCAGCACAAUUGACCUGCUGACCUUAAUUCCCAGGAAACUGUCACAUUAUUUCUUUACCCCUUUGUCUAACUUAACAAUGUGACCCAAAAUACUGCAGAGCUUUAAAGUUUCUCAGCAUUGUAAGGUCAAGCUUUGGUCACCAUAGUUACAGUUUAGAUCUGCAGGUCAGAGGUCAAAUAGAUUAAUGAUGUCAGACACAUCUUUAAAUGGUUCUAACACUACUUCACCAUGAGGUAAACAGCUGAGCAUAUUUGAUAUGACAAAGGCAUUCUUCAAUCUUGCUAAUAAGAUCUUUUUAGACAUCUGAUAGAAAGAUAUCAUGGAAACCAACUACUCAGCAAAGACAUUAAUUGCUGACCUGUUUGGCAGCACUUACGGAUAUCAGUUCAACAAGCUGACGGAGUAUUCUGUUUAGUCAUUAUGCCAGGAGAAUGACAAAUCAACAUUUAACUACCUUUUGAAGAAGCCAAAUCAUUAAAACACUGGUUUUGUAUAAAACUGUUGAAAUGCAAAAAAAAAAAGGUGGGGGGGGAGGGCUUAUUCAACAUGGAGAAAAAUUUUAAGAGAUUAUAAGUCAAAUAAAAUAUCAGGUUGAGUUCUGA
Long non-coding RNA from Panthera uncia (snow leopard), 633 nucleotides. RefSeq lists it as uncharacterized. NCBI's taxonomy places the organism in Eukaryota, Metazoa, Chordata, Mammalia, Carnivora, Felidae. The transcript has 2 exons. The record is from RefSeq and is a predicted model, not a curated record.